UACAGAGGGGGCAAGCGUUAUUCGGAAUUAUUGGGCGUAAAGGGCGCGUAGGCGGCUUGGCAAGUGGAAGGUGAAAUCCCUCGGCUUAACCGAGGAACUGCCUUCCAGACUGCUUUGCUUGAGUCCGGGAGAGGUGAGUGGAAUUCCCGGUGUAGCGGUGAAAUGCGUAGAUAUUGGGAGGAACACCAGUGGCGAAGGCGGCUCACUGGACCGGUUCUGACGCUGAGGCGCGAAAGCGUGGGGAGCAAACGGG
This 253-nucleotide ribosomal RNA is filed under the name uncultured bacterium. RNAcentral's name for it is "partial 16S ribosomal RNA". It matches the Rfam family "Bacterial small subunit ribosomal RNA", at positions 524 to 776 of the family's 1533-position model. The record is from RNAcentral.